RNAcentral lists this ribosomal RNA (376 nucleotides) under uncultured organism. Its description in RNAcentral is "partial 16S ribosomal RNA". It matches the Rfam family "Bacterial small subunit ribosomal RNA", at positions 527 to 896 of the family's 1533-position model. The record is from RNAcentral.
GUAGGUGGCAAGCGUUGUCCGGAAUUAUUGGGCGUAAAGCGCGCGCAGGCGGUCCUUUAAGUCUGAUGUGAAAGCCCACGGCUCAACCGUGGAGGGUCAUUGGAAACUGGGGGACUUGAGUACAGAAGAGGAAAGCGGAAUUCCAAGUGUAGCGGUGAAAUGCGUAGAGAUUUGGAGGAACACCAGUGGCAAAGGCGGCUUUCUGGUCUGUAACUGACGCUGAGGCGCGAAAGCGUGGGGAGCAAACAGGGAUUAGAUACCCUGGUAGUCCACGCCGUAAACGAUGAGUGCUAAGUGUUAGGGGGUUUCCCGCCCCCCUUAGUGCUGCAGCUAACGCAUUAAGCACUCCGCCUGGGGAGUACGGCCCGCAAGGCUG